UGGCGGACGGGUGAGUAACGCGUAAAGAACUUGCCCUUUAGACUGGGAUAACAGAGGGAAACUUCUGAUAAUACUGGAUAAGUUAGUAUAUCGCAUGAUAUACAAAUGAAAGCUACGGCACUAAAGGAGAGCUUUGCGUCCUAUUAGCUAGUUGGUAAGGUAAGAGCUUACCAAGGCGAUGAUAGGUAGCCGGCCUGAGAGGGUGGACGGCCACAAGGGGACUGAGAUACGGCCCUUACUCCUACGGGAGGCAGCAGCG
This 259-nucleotide ribosomal RNA is filed under the name uncultured Leptotrichia sp. RNAcentral's name for it is "partial 16S ribosomal RNA". It matches the Rfam family "Bacterial small subunit ribosomal RNA", at positions 96 to 356 of the family's 1533-position model. The record is from RNAcentral. Lineage: Bacteria; Fusobacteriati; Fusobacteriota; Fusobacteriia; Fusobacteriales; Leptotrichiaceae.